AUGCGAGUCGAGAGUCUUAGGGACUCGGCAUACCGCUCAGUAACACGUGGAUAACCUGCCCUGUGCUGGGGGAUAACCUCGCGAAAGUGAGAACAAUACCCCAUAGGUCACUACGCCUGGAACGGUGAGUGGCUGAAAGGACCACCUUAGGGUGGUUCCGGCACAGGAUGGGUCUGCGGCGUAUCAGGUAGUAGGGGGUGUAACGUACCUCCUAGCCUUCGACGCGUACGGGUUGUGAGAGCAAUUGCCCGGAGAUGGAUUCUGAGACACGAAUCCAGGCCCUACGGGGCGCAGCAGGCGCGAAAACUUGACAAUGCGAGAAAUCGUGAUCAGGGGACUCCAGUUGGCUGGAUUAAUAUCCAGUCUGAACCGACUUUAAAUCGGUCGGGUAAUAGGGGCGGGAAAGACCGGUGCCAGCCGCCGCGGUAAUACCGGCGCCCCAAGUGGUCGUCACUAUUAUUGGGCCUAAAACGUCCGUAGCCGGUUUGGUAAAUCCGUGGGUAAAUCAGACAGCCUAACUGUCUGAAUUCUGCGGGGACUGCCAGACUUGAGACCGGGAGAGGUACGGGGUACCUGCGGGGUAGCGGUAAAAUGCGAUCAUCCCGUAGGGACCACCUGUUGCGAAGGCGCCGUACUAGAACGGAUCUGACGGUCAGGGACGAAGCCUAGGGGCACGAACCGGAUUAGAUACCCGGGUAGUCCUAGGUGUAAACGCUGUGGACUUGGUGUCGGGGACUUUCAGAGAGUUUCCGGUGCCGGAGUGAAGAUGUUAAGUCC
RNAcentral lists this ribosomal RNA (777 nucleotides) under uncultured archaeon. Its description in RNAcentral is "bacterial SSU rRNA". It matches the Rfam family "Archaeal small subunit ribosomal RNA", at positions 51 to 822 of the family's 1478-position model. The record is from RNAcentral.